UCUGUGAAUGGCGCCCCCUGUGGCCGUGCACUGAGCAAUCUGCACAGCUGGUCAGCGCAUCCCGGAGGCCCAAGGAAGGUACAUAUGGGGCACUGACCUGUGAGAGCAGCGCAGGCAGGCCCUGGCCCCAGAUGGGGCUGGGGGACCCCACAGGCUAACGAAAGGAGUCCUGUCAGCUUUACUAGAAGGAAGGAGAGAAGCGAGGAAGGCCUGAGAGAGAUGGUGUGGGCAGGCCACCAAGGAAAAUGAAAGUAUUUAACCCUUUCUGCCUUGAUUUUCACCAAAUCACAAGGUCCUCAAAGGCGAGAGGGCAAAGUAAACACCAGGAGGCCUGACGUCCCAGGUUAGGGAUGUGCACCUUGACCCCCUGUGGGUAUUGGCUGGAAGCUGGGGCCUGCAGAGGACUCCGGACUCGGGGUCAGGCCUCGUUUGCUAUCAUACUAAAAAGGAGGUUUCUGGACACUAAGCGCCCAAGACCAGGCAAAAUGCUUCGUGUCCCCUUUAUCUCGUGACUCCCAGACCCCCAGGCUGACAAGGACGUGCUCUCUUCCUUCCUCUGCGGCACUGAGGGGCAAGUGUUCUGCUCUGUACCUGCCCGAUGGAAACACUAAAAAGCAAGCAGACCCUGUGGACCCCGGGGACUCCUGGGGGCGGUUCUUCAGGAGCCAAGGCGUCUCCUUUCUCUGCCAGACAUACCUUCUGACAAAGGGGAUACAAACCUCGGUGAGAGACAAGACUAGACAAUGGUCACAGCUUCGUCCCAUGUCCUCCCCAGGGAAUAUGUGACUUACUGCAGGAAGCAGCGACCAGGACACAGCCGCACAGAGGGAAGACCACCCGGGGGCCCGGGAGCAGACGGCCCUCUGCGAGCCAAAGAGCAGGCAGGCCUCGGGAGAAAGCACUCCUGCCACCCCCUUGCUCUUGGCCUUCCAGGCUCCAGAACUGUGAGAAAAUACAUUCCUGUUGUUGAAGCCACUCCAUCUGUGGCAUGUUAUCAUGGAAACCCUAGAAAGCUAUUGUAACUGGGGUAUUUCAUUUCAUCCUCAUUCAUUUCAUCCUCAUGACCACUCUGAUCAUUUUCCUCAUUGUGCAGAAGAAACUGAUGCUCAGAGAAGUCAGUUGAUCCGUCCCAGUUCUCACAGUGAGCCAGUGGCAGAGCCAGGAUUGGUAUCAGGCUUUCUUCUACCACUUUAAGUUGCCUGGUAAAACUAAUGCUCUACUGAAGGUGCCCUAGGAGCUACCCUGGGCAGAUCAACGGAGGGCACUCCAGGGGAGGCGUUUCUUGCGAAUACCCUGAUUCCAUAUGGAGACCUGGCUGCUCUCGGUUGAAUCUCCCGGAUGUGCUUCACUGGCACCCAUGGCAGUGUCGCCUGGGCCUGCAGCUGACUGCAACCUGAUGGGUAGAGCUCCAUCAGGUCCUCGCGUGGGCUGAGAGCCACACAGUGCCCAGCCGGACCUCCCGGGAAGCAGCCGGGGAUGAGGACGGGCGGCCUUUGCACUCUCAGAAGGAGACACUAGCUGCUACAUGGACCCCGAUCACAGCCCCCAGCCUCAUGGAUAUCAGAGAGUGGGCCCCUUACCUAAUAACUAUGACGAUGACCAUCCCCCACAGCUUCCAUCCCACGGGCACUACGCUGGGCACUUGAGCGCGGUUACUUCUCAGAUGGACAUCCACUUGGGAGGUGAGUACCUUUCCUGUACCACAGAUGAUGCAGAGAAUGGAACCAGGGCUUAGGAAGUCGAGUGACUUGCUCAGGGACACUCCGACAAGCGAGGCACAGAGCCCAAAUCCCAGCUCCCAAAGCCUGUCCCUGCCUCUCGCCGGGAGGAUUGAUGACACAUGGAGGCACACCUGUGCGGCUGACUAGUACUGCUCCUCAGGGCACCGAGGACACCCCCGAGAGGCCACUGAAGCCUCAUCAUGGGGGGAUCCCUUACAGGAGCUGGGAGACCUCCAGGGAUGGCAAGCCCAGCACCCACCUGAUUACAGGGGAACCUAGCCAGCAAUGGUCCGAGGAUGGCUUCCUGCCAGCCACUCCCCUGGCUCCUAGCACCCUUUCUUUCAGCCCCACAGCCCUGACGCACACCCCAGCAGGUAGCCAGGGGCGUCGGGGAUCCGUCAGCAUCUGCACUGUGACCUUGCUGUUUGUUGACACUGUCCCUGGAAACCCCAGCAUGAUGACGGCCUCCGUCAGGUGAACACCUGCGUGGUGUCUGGUGACAUCUGUGCCAAGAGGUGAUGUCAGUCGUCCGAGUGCACCUGGAAGGGCAGGCUGCCUGAGAGUGGCUCCAGAUCCACAGUGCUUCACCCAGGGACUCAGGUUCUAACUCUGGUUCAGAUGAAUCUCACCCGUGUUAUUUCCCUAGGCCUCAUCCUCCUCAAGGCUCCAUUAAGGGGUUAAGCUCAAAGAAGACUGUGUUUGAGCCAGUGCUUUGAUUGCCCUCCCUGGGUCUCAGCUGUGAUGCGGACUAGCUGCUUCAGGCUCCUUGUAUUAGUCAGGUCCUCCGGAGAAACCGAACCCACAGGAUAUACAUGUGUAUAUAGAGAGAGAGACAGAGAAACAGGAGGGGUGAGGGGAUUUACUCUAGGAAUUGGCUCCCACAGUCAUGGAGGCUGAGAAGUCCCACAGUCACCCAUCUGCAGACUGGACAGCAGGAACUCCAACAUCUGAGGGCAGGAGAAGAUGGUCAUCCCAGCUCAGGAGAGAAACACUUCACCCCUCCUUUGUCCCAUUAGGGCCUUCAGGGGACUAGACGGUGUCCUUCCUACAAGUGAGGACUGAUCUCUUUUCUCAGUCUAUUGAAUCAAAUGCAAACUAGUUUCUUCCAGAAGCCCCCUCACAGACACACCCAGAAAUGAGGUUUUACCAGCCACCUGGCUUCCCAGAGCCCAGUCACACUUACACAUAAAACUGCCCGUCACACUCCUACAGGAGAAUCAGAGUCAUACGUUAUCCCUUUCCCCAGUCAUUCAGCCAACAUCUGCUGAGUGCUUCCUAUAUGUGAGCCACGUGUGGGAACAACUACCAAGCCCUUGGAAAAGAGUAGCCUGGCCCUCCAUAACUGGUUUACCCUCCCUGAAGGAUGCGAUGCAGCCCCCAGGCAAAUUCCAAGGCCGUGGAGGUUUCCCCAGGUUGGGCUGACAGGUUCACACCUGUCUCUGCACCCAGAUCCUAAAUGUCUUAUCGAUCAUGCUUGCCAUUCAGUUCCCGGUGCCCAGUAUAGAGCCCGGCACAUAGUGAGCAAGAUAAAUACACAAACACUGCCUACCUGAAGAACACAGUCUUCUUAUAUUACUACGAAAUACAUUGUGAAUGAAA
This is a long non-coding RNA of Manis javanica (Malayan pangolin), 3320 nucleotides long. RefSeq lists it as uncharacterized. Lineage: Eukaryota; Metazoa; Chordata; Mammalia; Pholidota; Manidae. The record is from RefSeq and is a predicted model, not a curated record.